GAAGGCAUGGAACAGGGGAAGGACUUUCGCUUUUUGUGGCCCUGUAAAAGAAAAUAAUAUGUUUUAUAUAGCCCGCCUAGCGUUAUAGUCUCAGUGCAUUCUAUUCUAUUCUAGCUAGUGGCUAGGGCGUAACGUAGAUAAAUACAAUUUAUAAUUAUUUUUUACCUAGAGUUUUUGCUAUUUCGUGACAAGGAAGGUACUGGUGGUGUUUACCAGUACCUACGUGUACCCACAGCUCUUCUAGCUCAGGUACUAGGUGGGCUAUAUAAAACAUAUUAUUUUCUUUUACAGGGCCACAAAAAGCGAAAGUCCUCCCCCUGUUCCAUGCCUUCACAGGUUGUGAUACUGUGUCCUAUUUUAACGGGAAAGGAAAAAAAGUGCAAUAGAUGCAUGGAACGCAUUUCCCAAUGCCACAGAAGGGUUUCUGGCAGCAUAUGAGGGGAAUACUAGCGAGGCGUUUACAGUAAUCGAAAAGUUUGUCGUCAUUUUAUAUGACAGAGCCAGUUCAUUUACAACCGUAAACGAAGCCCGAAAGCACCUAUUCUCGAAAAAAGACCGCCAAUUGGAGAAUAUACCUCCGACGAAAGCUGCUCUAUACCAGCAUUUCCUGCGGGCAGUGUUCCAAGCAGUCCAUGUAUGGGGUCAGAUGUCACCGAAUCAAAAUCUUCCCUGUCCAUCUAACUGGGGAUGGAGAAAAGUCAGUGAAAGCUGGCAACCUACAUGGACAGACUUGCCCGUAGCUGCAGAUGCAUGCCUGGAAAUGAUCCGGUGCAGAUGCAAAAAGAGGUGCGGCGGCUCGAGGUGCCGGUGCUUUCAGCGGCAACUUAAGUGCACGGAGCUUUGCGAUUGUGGGGGACAAUGUAAAUAAUAAACAUUUUUAAGUAAAAUUCUA
Long non-coding RNA from Cydia pomonella (codling moth), 892 nucleotides. RefSeq lists it as uncharacterized. The transcript has 2 exons. Lineage: Eukaryota; Metazoa; Arthropoda; Insecta; Lepidoptera; Tortricidae. The record is from RefSeq and is a predicted model, not a curated record.